RNAcentral lists this ribosomal RNA (373 nucleotides) under uncultured organism. RNAcentral describes it as "bacterial SSU rRNA". It matches the Rfam family "Bacterial small subunit ribosomal RNA", at positions 526 to 896 of the family's 1533-position model. The record is from RNAcentral.
CAGAGGGUGCGAGCGUUGUUCGGAAUUACUGGGCGUAAAGCGUGCGCAGGCGGCCUUUUAAGUCUGACGGUGAAAUGCCGGGGCUCAACCCCGUGCCCGCCGCGGAUACUGGGAGGCUGGAGACGAGUAGAGGCAAGCGGAAUUCCGGGUGUAGCGGUGGAAUGCGUAGAGAUCCGGAAGAACACCGGAGGCGAAGGCGGCUUGCUGGGCUCGGUCUGACGCUGAGGCGCGAAAGCGUGGGGAGCGAACAGGAUUAGAUACCCUGGUAGUCCACGCCGUAAACGAUGGGCACUAGACGCUGGUGGGAUCGACCCCUUCGGUGUCGCAGCUAACGCGAUAAGUGCCCCGCCUGGGGAGUACGGCCGCAAGGCUG